RNAcentral lists this ribosomal RNA (253 nucleotides) under uncultured bacterium. RNAcentral describes it as "partial 16S ribosomal RNA". It matches the Rfam family "Bacterial small subunit ribosomal RNA", at positions 524 to 776 of the family's 1533-position model. The record is from RNAcentral.
UACGUAGGGUGCGAGCGUUAAUCGGAAUUACUGGGCGUAAAGCGUACGCAGGCGGCUGCGCAAGACAGAUGUGAAAUCCCCGGGCUUAACCUGGGAACUGCAUUUGUGACUGCGCAGCUAGAGUUUGUCAGAGGGGGGUGGAAUUCCACGUGUAGCAGUGAAAUGCGUAGAGAUGUGGAGGAACACCGAUGGCGAAGGCAGCCCCCUGGGACCUGACUGACGCUCAUGUACGAAAGCGUGGGGAGCGAACAGG